Molecule: long non-coding RNA, 401 nt
Filed under: Rattus norvegicus (Norway rat)
Lineage: Eukaryota; Metazoa; Chordata; Mammalia; Rodentia; Muridae
Description: long non-coding RNA NONRATT008010
Source: RNAcentral
GCUGGCUCCAGAGGCAAGGCUGCAGUCAGCAAACACUCCCGGCCUUAAAAUGGUGAACCUCAGCAGCACCCCAGCCUGUGAGCUGGACAGGUUCAUAAAGGAUCACCUCCCUGCUGACACCAGCUUCCAUGCUGAGCUCAGAGCAGACAUUGACUUCAUAUGUGCUUUCCUGAAGGAGAGAUGCUUCCAAGGUGCCGCUCACCCUGUGAGGGUCUCCAGGGUUGUGAUGGUGAGUCUCAUUAUCCUGAGCUGACCAGGAUGGGGUGGGAGAGGACUCUCAGAAGCCAGACUGUAGUCCUUAGUGGGGAGUGGGUGCCCCCUAAAUACUCUGUGCUUAGUGUCCUCAUGUAUACCCCAGCUAUGGCACAGGGCAGAGAACAGAGCAGAGACCCCCCUCCCGC